CCCGGGAUAGAGCAGAGGCAGCUCGCCACCCUCAUGCGGUGGAGGUCGUAGGUUCGAAUCCUGCUCCCGGAA
This is a transfer RNA of 72 nucleotides. It matches the Rfam family "tRNA". Rfam says of the family: Transfer RNA (tRNA) molecules are approximately 80 nucleotides in length. Their secondary structure includes four short double-helical elements and three loops (D, anti-codon, and T loops).